AGGAGCAAACAGAUACUCAGAGAAAAGGGGGGAAAGCAGAGGAUGCUUCAAAAGCAAAACAAACAAACAAAACCAGAGGGAAUAAGUCCCUCUGCUUCAAAGAAACUCAAACCAAGAAAACUAAGCUGGUUUCCCUAGGAAAAACAGCUGCCCAUCAACCAAGAAUGAGUUUAU
This is a non-coding RNA of Monodelphis domestica (gray short-tailed opossum), 174 nucleotides long. Lineage: Eukaryota; Metazoa; Chordata; Mammalia; Didelphimorphia; Didelphidae. The record is from Rfam.